UCACUGGUGGUUCAGUGGUUAGGACACUGCUCUUCAAACGCGGGGAAAGAGGGUUUGAUCCCUGCUCAGGGAA
RNAcentral lists this transfer RNA (73 nucleotides) under Ovis aries (sheep). It matches the Rfam family "tRNA". Rfam says of the family: Transfer RNA (tRNA) molecules are approximately 80 nucleotides in length. Their secondary structure includes four short double-helical elements and three loops (D, anti-codon, and T loops). Further hydrogen bonds mediate the characteristic L-shaped molecular structure. tRNAs have two regions of fundamental functional importance: the anti-codon, which is responsible for specific mRNA codon recognition, and the 3' end, to which the tRNAs corresponding amino acid is attached (by aminoacyl-tRNA synthetases). tRNAs cope with the degeneracy of the genetic code in two manners: having more than one tRNA (with a specific anti-codon) for a particular amino acid; and 'wobble' base-pairing, i.e. permitting non-standard base-pairing at the 3rd anti-codon position. The record is from Rfam by way of RNAcentral. Lineage: Eukaryota; Metazoa; Chordata; Mammalia; Artiodactyla; Bovidae.